GCGCAGGUGGCAGAGCGGUCAAUUGCAAUGGACUGUAAAUCCAUCGCCCUAGUGGCUACGGGGGUUCAAAUCCCUCCCUGCGCA
This 84-nucleotide transfer RNA is filed under the name Candidatus Wolfebacteria bacterium GWA1_42_9. RNAcentral describes it as "tRNA-Tyr". It matches the Rfam family "tRNA". Rfam says of the family: Transfer RNA (tRNA) molecules are approximately 80 nucleotides in length. Their secondary structure includes four short double-helical elements and three loops (D, anti-codon, and T loops). Further hydrogen bonds mediate the characteristic L-shaped molecular structure. tRNAs have two regions of fundamental functional importance: the anti-codon, which is responsible for specific mRNA codon recognition, and the 3' end, to which the tRNAs corresponding amino acid is attached (by aminoacyl-tRNA synthetases). tRNAs cope with the degeneracy of the genetic code in two manners: having more than one tRNA (with a specific anti-codon) for a particular amino acid; and 'wobble' base-pairing, i.e. permitting non-standard base-pairing at the 3rd anti-codon position. Lineage: Bacteria; Candidatus Wolfeibacteriota. The record is from RNAcentral.